This 464-nucleotide ribosomal RNA is filed under the name uncultured bacterium. RNAcentral's name for it is "bacterial SSU rRNA". It matches the Rfam family "Bacterial small subunit ribosomal RNA", at positions 331 to 792 of the family's 1533-position model. The record is from RNAcentral.
CCAGACUCCUACGGGAGGCAGCAGUGAGGAAUAUUGGUCAAUGGCCGAAGGGCUGAACCAGCCAAGCCGCGUGAAGGAAUAAGGCCCUACGGGUCGUAAACUUCUUUAGUCAGGGAACAAAGGGUGCCACGCGUGGCGCUGUGAGUGUACCUGAAGAAUAAGCAUCGGCUAACUCCGUGCCAGCAGCCGCGGUAAUACGGAGGAUGCGAGCGUUAUCCGGAUUUAUUGGGGUUAAAGGGUGCGUAGGCGGUUAAGCAAGUCUGAAGGAAAAACCCAGGGCUCAACCCGGGGACCGCCGUUGAAACUGGCGAACUAGAGAGGGAGAGAAGUAGGCGGAAUGCGCAGUGUAGCGGUGAAAUGCAUAGAUAUUGCGCAGAACUCCGAUUGCGAAGGCAGCCUACCGGCUCCUAUCUGACGCUGAGGCACGAAAGCGUGGGUAUCGAACAGGAUUAGAUACCCCAGUA